UGGGAUAGCUCAGUUGGUAGAGCAUGAGACUCUUAAUCUCAAGGGUCAUGAGUUCGAGCCCCACGUUGCACAA
RNAcentral lists this transfer RNA (73 nucleotides) under Podarcis lilfordi (Lilford's wall lizard). RNAcentral describes it as "tRNA.Lys". The stretch from base 6 to 64 matches the Rfam family "tRNA", at positions 8 to 63 of the family's 71-position model. Rfam says of the family: Transfer RNA (tRNA) molecules are approximately 80 nucleotides in length. Their secondary structure includes four short double-helical elements and three loops (D, anti-codon, and T loops). Further hydrogen bonds mediate the characteristic L-shaped molecular structure. tRNAs have two regions of fundamental functional importance: the anti-codon, which is responsible for specific mRNA codon recognition, and the 3' end, to which the tRNAs corresponding amino acid is attached (by aminoacyl-tRNA synthetases). tRNAs cope with the degeneracy of the genetic code in two manners: having more than one tRNA (with a specific anti-codon) for a particular amino acid; and 'wobble' base-pairing, i.e. permitting non-standard base-pairing at the 3rd anti-codon position. The record is from RNAcentral. Lineage: Eukaryota; Metazoa; Chordata; Lepidosauria; Squamata; Lacertidae.